UCAAACUUGGUCAUUUAGAGGAAGUAAAAGUCGUAACAAGGUCUCCGUUGGUGAACCAGCGGAGGGAUCAUUAUAGAGUGUAAACUCCCAAACCUUUGUGAACAUACCACUGUUGCUUCGGCGGCGUUCUGGGUGUCCUCGCCGGCAUCCAGGGUCUAAACGCCGUCGAGGGUGCCAAACUCUGACUUACUAUCGUCUUCUGAGUACAAAACAUAAAUGAAUCAAAACUUUCAGCAACGGAUCUCUUGGCUCUGGCAUCGAUGAAGAACGCAGC
This 274-nucleotide unclassified non-coding RNA is filed under the name uncultured fungus. RNAcentral describes it as "partial contains small subunit ribosomal RNA, internal transcribed spacer 1, and 5.8S ribosomal RNA". The stretch from base 1 to 73 matches the Rfam family "Eukaryotic small subunit ribosomal RNA", at positions 1759 to 1831 of the family's 1831-position model. Lineage: Eukaryota; Fungi. The record is from RNAcentral.